RNAcentral lists this non-coding RNA (120 nucleotides) under Rhodococcus sp. (in: high G+C Gram-positive bacteria). Its description in RNAcentral is "Rhodococcus sp. Glycine sequence". It matches the Rfam family "Glycine riboswitch aptamer". Rfam says of the family: This family represents the bacterial glycine riboswitch. Glycine riboswitches usually consist of two metabolite-binding aptamers domains with similar structures in tandem. The aptamers cooperatively bind glycine to regulate the expression of downstream genes. Lineage: Bacteria; Bacillati; Actinomycetota; Actinomycetes; Mycobacteriales; Nocardiaceae. The record is from RNAcentral. RNAcentral also lists the same sequence under 1 other name.
CGACGCCGCACGGGAGAGCUUCGACCACGGUCCGACCGUAGCCGGUCGCGGCACGGGUCGAGCGCCGAAGGAGCAGCACCUCUCCGUCAAUCUCUCAGGCCCCCGGACCGUGCGGGCUCC